RNAcentral lists this transfer RNA (79 nucleotides) under Gammaproteobacteria bacterium. RNAcentral describes it as "tRNA-Thr". It matches the Rfam family "tRNA". Rfam says of the family: Transfer RNA (tRNA) molecules are approximately 80 nucleotides in length. Their secondary structure includes four short double-helical elements and three loops (D, anti-codon, and T loops). The record is from RNAcentral. Lineage: Bacteria; Pseudomonadati; Pseudomonadota; Gammaproteobacteria.
GCCACUAUAGCUCAGUCUGGCCAGAGCAGCGCCCUUGUAAGGCGAAAGUCGAUGGGUUCGAAUCCCUCUGGUGGCUCCA